UCGGCGAAAUGGGUUGCUCCGCGGAAGCGUCAGCGAGCGGUUCUGUAGGUCCCGGUGGGGCAGAGCGGUCAGGUGCAGGCCCCGAGAGGCCCGUGCAGACCCACGCACCCGCCGGGCCUCCCAUCCUUCCGGUUGCUGGACCGUCAGGCCGACGCCCAUCAGGACGUUAGGCCAGGUAACCCCUAUUCCCAGCUGUACGAGCCUGCAGGAAUAGAAUUCGUCUCCCCAUCUUUCUCCCCCGGUCCAGUUCGCCUCCUUUUCGUCUUCGCUGCUCGCGCACAAGCAGUCAGGAUCCACAGGUGGAGGCCCCAGCGCGCCCCGGUUCGCCCGGCAACAGUGACGUCAUGACUCCACCGCCGAGAAUUGGCUGCCGGAGCCUCCGGGGGCGGAGAAGAGGCGGCAGCAUCCGCACCCACCGUUUGCCCGGCAACAGUGACGUCAUGAAUGCGCCGCCGACAAUUGGCUGCCUGAGCCGGGGGCGAAGAAGAGGCGGCAGCAUCCGCAGGCGGAGGCCGGAGCUUGUCUGGGGUUUGCCCGGCAACGGUGACGUCAAGUCCCCCGGCUGAGAACCGGCUGCCGAGCCUCUGGGGGCGGAGGAGAAGCGGCGCAUUCGCAGGUGAGAGCCGCGCGGGGUCCGGUCCAGGUCGGCACCCCCUCCCGGUCUCCCCGCCGCGUCUCGGCCAGGACGCCGCGCACCCACCGGGCAGCAGCCCCUAACCCCGGGCCCGCCGGUCUCCACGGGACUGCGCGACGCUGUGGAACAUUUUGGAACCGGGCAGCGGUCCUUCUGCCUGUCCUGUCGCUGCCUGGCAGUUACAGUCUUUCCCAGCAGAGAACACUGCGUGGGGGACCGUCGUCCUCUUGCAGCUCUGGCCCGGGAGUCCCGGUCCGGCAACUGGACGACCCUGCGUCCACACCCGGACGGUGCAUAGAAGCUUGCACCUGAGCGUCGGAUUAAAAUUCCAGCCUCGGUUUCGCUAACUGUGGCCCGGGGUCUGUCUCCCCACCCCCACCCCGUGGGCUUGACGUGCGCAGUAAAGGAGACCCGGGGCACGUGGUGCUCGGCCGUGCCCGUCCUGCCCCUGCACCCUUUGGGACCAUCCCAGCCGCCGCUGUGCACAAAAAGUGGGGCCGGGGAGCAGGACUUUGUCUCCUAGGCGGUUACUGACUUGCUGGCACCCCACAAGCCUAAGCAGCUCAGUUAGCCAGCUACUGUCAUUUCCUUCACCGGGAUCCUGCUUCUUAAGAAGCCAGUAAGAGCUGAUGGGGACGGUUACCAGCAGGGACCUGCUUCUUAGGGGAAAUGCUCGAUUUUGGACGGGACCGAAGGCUUGCCUGGUCACUGGCGCCAUCUACUGGUUACACUGACUUACUGCUCCGACGAGGGACCGUGGCCGGCGCAGGGUCCCCCGACCUGCCUGAAGAUCAGUGGCAGGUGAGACCGCGCAGGGGCCGUCCCUGAAGUUUGCCCACGACUUACACUUACUGGCCUAUUGACCCACCGAUGAAGUCUUGUUCGAGGACCCUCUGCUGUGUAACAUCCUGAAUCAAGUGCCAGUCGGGGGAGGAAAUACUGUUUUGCCCUCAUGUGGUUUUUAACGUCCUCAAAACGGCUUUCUAUGGUUGUCCCUGUCCCUUACAGUAAGGUGCAAUCAAUAAGUGGAUCCAAUAGUUGUACUGGGAGGAGGAUACUGAGGCCAGCAGAGCUGAGAGGAGCCCAAGGUGGGCCAGACCCAGCAGCCCGAGCUGCAGGUGCCGACGGGCCCUCUGCCAGGCAUGCGAGCUGGGUGGGGCAGAGGGGCACAGGCUUGCUUUAUUCCUGGUGUUUCGUCGGGAACCAUGACCUAGUGGUUCCCUAGCCUUCCUCCACCAUUUCUUUAUCUUUUGUUGUGGUUUCUAUAUCUUCUUAUUUCUUGCCCCAGCUUGAACUCUGUUUGGAGAUGUGAUUUUUAGCAACAAAGCUAAAUUUAUGCACAAUUCAUUUCUGUUAUUAAUUGAAUAUAUUUUAUUUUUU
Lutra lutra (Eurasian river otter) is the source of this 2014-nucleotide long non-coding RNA. RefSeq lists it as uncharacterized. Lineage: Eukaryota; Metazoa; Chordata; Mammalia; Carnivora; Mustelidae. The record is from RefSeq and is a predicted model, not a curated record. The transcript is spliced from 3 exons.